AUCUCCAUCUGCAAUAGUCCAAAAGCAGUCUCCACUGGACCGUUGUACCUUUCAGCUCUGUAUGAGCACUUGGAGUGUUUUAGAACUCUUCUUUUAUAUGGGGCUGACCCAGAUUAUAACUGUAUGGACAAUAAAUUCAUGAAGCAGUCCAGUACUGUUAUAGAAUUCUGUCUUCUACAUCACUGUAAGACAGCUUUUGUAAAACUUCUCAUUGAUUUUGGUGCCAACAUUUACUUACCAGGCAUUGAUGGCGUAUUUGGAAGAUCUUAUUUGAAUAAGGAGACAGAGGAAUUUAUACUGAGAGAAAGAGGUCUUGUCAGGUCACUGAAGUCUAAGGCUCGCUUGACGAUCUGGAAAGUGUUGAGAGACUUGGGACGUAUGCAGCUCAUUUACCAGCUGGAGGUUCC
Molecule: non-coding RNA, 407 nt
Organism: Pelobates cultripes (western spadefoot toad)
Lineage: Eukaryota; Metazoa; Chordata; Amphibia; Anura; Pelobatidae
Source: the annotation of a GenBank genome assembly